CCCAGGUGAGCCUCACCUGGUGCCGGGCUCUCACCUGUGCCCCCCCCGCAGGUAACUCCAGCUCACCUGAGGUGCGGCUGGCGGCCGGGCCGCACCUGUGCGCAGGUAGGGUGGAGGUGCUGCACGAGGGGCGCUGGGGGACGGUCUGCGACCACGGCUGGGACCUGAGGGACGCCCAGGUGAGCUCAGGUGGGGACAGGUGAGCUCAGGUGGGGACAGGUGAGCUCAGGUGGGGACAGGUGGGACCUGAGGGAUGCCCAGGUGAGCUCAGGUGGGGACAGGUGAGCUCAGGUGUGUGCAGGUGAGUCCUGCAGGUGUGCGCAGGUGUGCAGGUGAGUCCCGACAGGUGUGUGCAGGUGUGUCCUGACAGGUGUGUGCAGGUGAGUCCUGACAGGUGUGUACAGGUGUGUGCAGGUGUGCACAGGUGUGCGCAGGUGUGUCCUGACAGGUGUGUGCAGGUGUGCACAGGUGUGCUCAGGUGUGAACAGGUGUGCUCAGGUGUGUGCAGGUGAGUCCUGCAGGUGUGCUCAGGUGUGCUCAGGGGAGCCCCAC
This 552-nucleotide long non-coding RNA is filed under the name Parus major (Great Tit). RNAcentral describes it as "lncRNA (ENSPMJG00000003576.1)". Lineage: Eukaryota; Metazoa; Chordata; Aves; Passeriformes; Paridae. The record is from RNAcentral.